RNAcentral lists this long non-coding RNA (586 nucleotides) under Bos taurus (domestic cattle). Its description in RNAcentral is "long non-coding RNA NONBTAT019011". The record is from RNAcentral. Lineage: Eukaryota; Metazoa; Chordata; Mammalia; Artiodactyla; Bovidae.
GUUUCAUGAAAGUCUCAAAAGUUCUAGAAUUUUUAAUGUUUUAAUUAUGAAGUGCCAAUUCUCAUAGGAUUCUGGUAGAUCAGCUUUUCUGUCUUAAGGUUUUACCUUUGGUUUCCUUUCAUUUCAAGAUUUCAUCUUCUCUUAACUACUGGUAUUCUGCACACUGUCCUGGCGCAGACUCCCAGCCCAACAUCUCUGGGGCCACGUCUGCCCAGCAGCAGUAGCUUCUGAAACUGGUGCUCUUCCUCCUGUGUGGGCCAGGAGGGUUUGUGCUGGAAUGUAAAUCCCUCUGUUGCUUUUGCUCUUUCUUUAUAAAGAAAAAAGAAACACAACAAAAUGGGUUGCUUUACUCUUUUCUUUGUAUAAACAUCUUAAAAGUCCUGGAAAACAAUUUACAUGAUUGAUUUCAAAGAAAAAUUAGAAGAGCUGUGGCAUGAGUGAUACUCAAAAUAGAUUUAAAAUAUUUUCUCUCCAGAUUCUUUAAAAAAAUAUACACUCAGAUGGUAAAUGGAGCUACUACCAGCAUCAGUAAUGAUACAUACAUCUAGCCAGCUCUUUGCCACUUUGGGAAGUGCUUCUGCAUGCG